Small nuclear RNA from Pteronotus mesoamericanus, 102 nucleotides. The record is from RefSeq and is a predicted model, not a curated record. Lineage: Eukaryota; Metazoa; Chordata; Mammalia; Chiroptera; Mormoopidae.
GUGCUCGCUUCGGCAGCACAUACACUAAAAUUGGAACGAUACUGAGAAGAUUAGCAUGGCCCGAGCAAGGAAUUUUAUUACACAGUGUCUUAAUAAACAGUU